CGUAAAUGUAUGUACAUUGUACUCCGUUUUUCGCUGCUUGCGAGCAUCCUCAUUUCUCUCUACAGCAAAGCUUUUUGAUCACACAUACGGAGUUUUACUCUUUCUCAUCGAUCGAACACUUUUUUAGCACUCAGAACUUUUUUCCUCGGCUUUUGCACCGAAAAGCAAACCUUCACUUUUCCCUCCUAUCUGAGCAAUGGUCAGACCAGUCACGUACAGAAACGUGGCUAUUGAAUUCUAUGGAUUUGUUGGAUGGGUUGUCUCUUUUGCUGUUUACGUAAUGUACUGUAUCUGGAGCUUUGUGUCGGAUGACACUUUGAACUCUUUAGGCAUUACCUACUACCCGAGCAGAUAUUGGGCAGUGGCCAUCCCAGUUCAACUGCUCGUGACGACUGGCUCCAUUCUUGUUUUUUACACUUCUACAAACAUGAUCAAUGUUCCACCGCCUAAAUCGUUGGAUCUUAUCACUGACACCUAUGCCUCCUACGAAGAAGAACACAUCGUGCUGUCAGACGAGAUGAUUCGACCACUUGCUGACAUCCCCAUUGAUGUCGUAAACAAAAUUCUAUAUAAACAAGAAACUGGCCCCUCUUAUCAUUUGUUCAGUGACAUAGAAGACUAGCGCAAAUUGAUCCGUUAUAUACAGCGGGAAAAAAUGCCGCUGAAUUGUGUAUUGAUCUUGUGCGUUCUUGCUCUUACCUUUAUCCGCUAAUUUCUGAACUCUACGUACCGUUUUCUAGCUGGAGAAUUAUUCUGUAUAUGAAAGUCUCAUCGGCAUGUGCAUGUCCGUGUAGCUCUCGCUUGCUCAUGCGAGUAAGCAAGCAAAUCGCUCAUACAGAAUUUCCUAGUUACAUAAUUGGCCAUUUCAUGGAUUCUCGAGAAAAACAUCCUAUGCGCCGGUUGCUUUGGGAUG
This is a long non-coding RNA of Schistocerca gregaria, 913 nucleotides long. RefSeq lists it as uncharacterized. Lineage: Eukaryota; Metazoa; Arthropoda; Insecta; Orthoptera; Acrididae. The transcript is spliced from 3 exons. The record is from RefSeq and is a predicted model, not a curated record.